AGGUACAAAAUUCAGCCACGUUAAGCAACUUUAUGAGAAGCAAGAACUUAGUGGUUAUGGAACUUUACCUUCGGUUGGGGCGACCACGGAGGAAAAGCAAGCCUCCGAGUGGAUUGGGCGAAACCCCUAAAGCCAAAAGAAACAUCUUUAAGCCGCAGAACAUCUGACCAGAAAUGAUCCGGUUGAAUAAAACCGAUCAACGGACCAAGUUACCCCAGGGAUAACAGCGCAAUCCUCUCCAAGAGCCCAUAUCGACGAGGGGGUUUACGACCUCGAUGUUGGAUCAGGACAUCCUGAUGGUGCAGCCGCUAUCAAG
RNAcentral lists this ribosomal RNA (316 nucleotides) under Hybopsis zanema. RNAcentral's name for it is "partial 16S ribosomal RNA". It matches the Rfam family "Bacterial large subunit ribosomal RNA", at positions 2193 to 2569 of the family's 2925-position model. The record is from RNAcentral. Lineage: Eukaryota; Metazoa; Chordata; Actinopteri; Cypriniformes; Leuciscidae.